AUUGAACGCUGGCGGCAGGCCUAACACAUGCAAGUAGAGCCAGCGGCGGCCGGGUGAGUAAUGUCUGGGAAACUGGCUGAUGGAGGGGGAUAACUACUGGAAACGGUAGCUAAUACCGCAUACCAUCAGAUGGUCCCAGGUGGGAUUAGCUAGUAGGGUGGGUAACGGCUCACCUAGGCGACGAUCCCUAGCUGGUCUGAGAGUAUGACCAGCCACACGGGAACUGAGACACGGUCCAGACUCCUGCGGGAGGCAGCAGUGGGGAAUAUUGCACAAUGGGGGCAAGCCUGAUGCAGCCAUGCCGCGUGGGUGAAGAAGGCCUUCGGGUUGUAAAGCACUUUCAGCGGGGAGGCGUUACCCGCAGAAGAAGCACCGGCUAACUCCGUGCCAGCAGCCGCGGUAAUAC
Molecule: ribosomal RNA, 406 nt
Filed under: uncultured bacterium
Lineage: Bacteria
Description: partial 16S ribosomal RNA
Rfam family: Bacterial small subunit ribosomal RNA
Source: RNAcentral